GCUAGUAUGUAGCUCAGUGGUAGAGCACUUACCUAGCAUGCUUGAGGUCCUGGGUUCGAUCCCCAGGACUACCU
This 74-nucleotide transfer RNA is filed under the name Marmota monax (woodchuck). RNAcentral describes it as "tRNA.Ala". The stretch from base 10 to 66 matches the Rfam family "tRNA", at positions 8 to 63 of the family's 71-position model. Rfam says of the family: Transfer RNA (tRNA) molecules are approximately 80 nucleotides in length. Their secondary structure includes four short double-helical elements and three loops (D, anti-codon, and T loops). Further hydrogen bonds mediate the characteristic L-shaped molecular structure. tRNAs have two regions of fundamental functional importance: the anti-codon, which is responsible for specific mRNA codon recognition, and the 3' end, to which the tRNAs corresponding amino acid is attached (by aminoacyl-tRNA synthetases). tRNAs cope with the degeneracy of the genetic code in two manners: having more than one tRNA (with a specific anti-codon) for a particular amino acid; and 'wobble' base-pairing, i.e. permitting non-standard base-pairing at the 3rd anti-codon position. Lineage: Eukaryota; Metazoa; Chordata; Mammalia; Rodentia; Sciuridae. The record is from RNAcentral.